UGGCAAGAUGAGCACGUGGCACAUCUGCCCCCCCCCCCCCACACCUGGCAGGGAAGGGGGGAAACCCCGCCCUCCCCCCGCUACCGAGUCCCUAGAGCCUGCGCUCCUAAAGGCAGGGUGCGGGGCUCGCCUCCCCCUGCUGCCCUGAGCUCGCUUGAGCCAACGGGCUCACUCUGCAGCAGGCGGCUUGUCCUGCGCCUUGCGCGCUUGGGAAGGGAAAGGAAAUUUGCACUCGGCCCCUUGCCUCGGGCCUCCAUUGUUGCCCCCCGCCGGAGGAGGCCGCGCAGGGCCCGGGGCCCUGCAUGGCGGGAGGGGGUGCCUUUGGCAGGCCAGGAAAUGCCGCCGAAAUGUUCGCCGCCCGCUUCCUGACGCAGCAGGGAAAGCACCAGCAAUGGUACUGUGGCCAGGAGUGCGCAGACCCAACCGACGGCUCGGCUGCCACCACUGCCGGCUGGAACCCCCCUCCAGUGACAGUCCGGACACACUCUUCUUCCCUCCCUGUCCUACACUGUUGUGUGGCUGUUGUGUCCCAUCCCAGAAACGGAAUCACUUACUGCAGAGGUGCUGCCUGGACAAACAGCGCUAGUGCCCCACCCCAGAAGUGGCUGCAUCUCAGCACCAGGUAAGCAAGCCUUGUCUAAACAGCUGCCCUGACCCACCCCAGAGUUGGCUGCAUUUCAGGGCUGGACAAAAGCAAUUCCGCUCUGCCGGAUAUGCGCGGGGUUGGU
This is a long non-coding RNA of Trachemys scripta elegans, 728 nucleotides long. RefSeq lists it as uncharacterized. NCBI's taxonomy places the organism in Eukaryota, Metazoa, Chordata, Testudines, Emydidae. The record is from RefSeq and is a predicted model, not a curated record. The transcript is spliced from 3 exons.